This 67-nucleotide microRNA precursor is filed under the name Bombyx mori (domestic silkworm). Its description in RNAcentral is "mir-2774 microRNA precursor family". It matches the Rfam family "mir-2774 microRNA precursor family". The record is from Rfam by way of RNAcentral. Lineage: Eukaryota; Metazoa; Arthropoda; Insecta; Lepidoptera; Bombycidae.
ACAACAUUCGGACCGUUGGUUUACUGAGCAAUAUCACCUGCUAGGUAGAAGAUCUUCCUUUUGUCGU